This 208-nucleotide ribosomal RNA is filed under the name uncultured bacterium. RNAcentral describes it as "partial 16S ribosomal RNA". It matches the Rfam family "Bacterial small subunit ribosomal RNA", at positions 568 to 774 of the family's 1533-position model. The record is from RNAcentral.
CUCGUAGGUGGUUUGUCGCGUUGUUCGUGAAAACUCACAGCUUAACUGUGGGCGUGCGGGCGAUACGGGCAGACUGGAGUACUGCAGGGGAGACUGGAAUUCCUGGUGUAGCGGUGGAAUGCGCAGAUAUCAGGAGGAACACCGGUGGCGAAGGCGGGUCUCUGGGCAGUAACUGACGCUGAGGAGCGAAAGCGGUGGGGAGCGAACA